This 22-nucleotide non-coding RNA is filed under the name Arabidopsis thaliana (thale cress). Lineage: Eukaryota; Viridiplantae; Streptophyta; Magnoliopsida; Brassicales; Brassicaceae. The record is from RNAcentral.
CGCGCUACACUGAUGUAUUCAA